GAUCAUUACCACACCGAUCCAAGAUCAGUCUUCAUUGUGAAUUGUGCUAUCGCGGGCUUGGGUUUGUUUAACCCAUCCCGACGCCAACUUAACGCCGAAUCGAGCACUAGGAUCGAGCUUCGGCUCCAUCUAACGAUCUCUCCGGCAAACACCCGGUCGAAAGACUGGGUGCCCAAUACGUUUUUACGAUUGGUAACUGGAAAGAACCAAAUGACCUAAAGCAAAAAUGCAGUGGUUUUGGUGUCGUGUCCCUCUCGGGCCGACGCCACCCUGUACAUUAUACCUA
This 286-nucleotide ribosomal RNA is filed under the name Pseudo-nitzschia cf. australis. RNAcentral describes it as "partial 18S ribosomal RNA". Lineage: Eukaryota; Bacillariophyta; Bacillariophyceae; Bacillariales; Bacillariaceae. The record is from RNAcentral.